AUACGGAGGGUGCAAGCGUUAUCCGGAUUCAUUGGGUUUAAAGGGUGCGCAGGCGGAAUGAUAAGUCAGUGGUGAAAUCCUACAGCUUAACUGUAGAACUGCCAUUGAUACUGUCAUUCUUGAGUACACUUGAAGUGGGCGGAAUGUAUCAUGUAGCGGUGAAAUGCAUAGAUAUGAUACAGAACUCCGAUAGCGAAGGCAGCUCACUAAAUUGUAACUGACGCUCAGGCACGAAAGCGUGGGGAGCAAACAGGAUUAGAUACCCCAGUAGUCC
RNAcentral lists this ribosomal RNA (274 nucleotides) under uncultured bacterium. RNAcentral's name for it is "partial 16S ribosomal RNA". It matches the Rfam family "Bacterial small subunit ribosomal RNA", at positions 523 to 796 of the family's 1533-position model. The record is from RNAcentral.